AUGAUGGACUAUAGGACAGGACUGCUGCUUCUAAUCUGCUGGGCAGGUGUUGAUGGUCAGAGGCUGACAGAAUCUGAACCAGCAGUUAAAAGUCCUGGAGGAUCUCACAGAUUGACCUGUACAACCUCUGGAUUUACAUUCAGCAGCUACCCUAUGAACUGGGUCAGACAGGCUCCUGGUAAAGGACUGGAGUGGAUUGCUUUCAUCCACACAGGCAGUUCUCAUAUCUACUACUCCCAGUCAGUCCAGGGUAGAUUCACCAUCUCCAGAGAUGACUCCAGCAGUAAACUCUAUCUGCAGAUGAACAGUCUGAAGACUGAGGACACAGCAGUGUAUUACUGUGCCAGACACCCAAGGCCUGAUCCCUCCCGCUCAUCCCCGCCAGCGGGUGAUGAUCCGACCGCCGUCGACAUGCCCUCAACCUUAGCCAUGGGGACUUUCAGGCAGGAGCUCUCACGUCGCUACGUGAGGACAUCGGCAAUAUUAUCAAGCUGGAGAUUAGAGAUGUUCUGGAGAGAGAUGAAGUGA
Molecule: non-coding RNA, 528 nt
Organism: Centropristis striata (black sea bass)
Lineage: Eukaryota; Metazoa; Chordata; Actinopteri; Perciformes; Serranidae
Source: the annotation of a RefSeq genome assembly